RNAcentral lists this ribosomal RNA (497 nucleotides) under uncultured bacterium. RNAcentral's name for it is "partial 16S ribosomal RNA". It matches the Rfam family "Bacterial small subunit ribosomal RNA", at positions 28 to 507 of the family's 1533-position model. The record is from RNAcentral.
GAUGAACGCUGGCGGCGUGCCUAAUACAUGCAAGUCGAGCGAACGGACGAGAAGCUUGCUUCUCUGAUGUUAGCGGCGGACGGGUGAGUAACACGUGGAUAACCUACCUAUAAGACUGGGAUAACUUCGGGAAACCGGAGCUAAUACCGGAUGAUAUUUUGAACCGCAUGGUUCAAAAAUGAAAGACGGUCUUGCUUUCACUUAUAGAUGGAUCCGCGCUGCAUUAGCUAGUUGGUAAGGUAACGGCUUACCAAGGCAACGAUGCAUAGCCGACCCGGGAGGGUGAUCGGCCACACUGGAACUGAGACACGGUCCAGACUCCUACGGGAGGCAGCAGUAGGGAAUCUUCCGCAAUGGGCGAAAGCCUGACGGAGCAACGCCGCGUGAGUGAUGAAGGUCUUCGGAUCGUAAAACUCUGUUAUUAGGGAAGAACAUAUGUGUAAGUAACUGUGCACAUCUUGACGGUACCUAAUCAGAAAGCCACGGCUAACUACGUG